GGCUUUAGAAGGAUCAGUUUAGAAGCAGUGUGGAACAUACAUCGAAAAGCUGCAAAACUGUAGGGUAGUUGUUGGAUGACUGCGGUGACUCAUGCACAUGAGAAUAGAGCUUUGAAGAGUAAUGACAUUGAGUGACGUUCCAAUUUCUGAGCUCAGAGUGAGAAGUGGCAGCUUUCACUUCCCGCCUCCUGAGCCACCCCAUUAAGAACCCUGCCAGAGAGAAUCCUGCUAGAAUGCGAGAGACCACAGUGAAGAGCAGUAAGGCUCCAGACUGGUUAAGUGGAGAAGUGACGAGGAGAAACCAUUUUCUUUAGGAGAGUGCCUCGAUGAAUACUCUUGGAAUGGGUGAAUCCUUGUAAAGGAGUGUGCAAACAGGGAUGUUGCUGGAAGGAAUAUGAAGUCAUUGAGAACUUUUAAGAUGCCAUCCAGGAUGUGGAGAUGUAAGAAUGGGUACCAGAAUUCUGCAUAUUGAGGACUGAAUAGAAGAUGAGAAAAUGAAGG
Molecule: long non-coding RNA, 501 nt
Organism: Neofelis nebulosa (Clouded leopard)
Lineage: Eukaryota; Metazoa; Chordata; Mammalia; Carnivora; Felidae
Exons: 5
Source: RefSeq, a predicted model, not a curated record